CAUGUAGGGCGCAAGCGUUGUCCGGAAUUAUUGGGCGUAAAGAGCUCGUAGGCGGUCUGUUGCGUCUGCUGUGAAAACCCGGGGCUUAACCCCUGGCUUGCAGUGGAUACGGACAGACUAGAGGUAGGUAGGGGAGAAUGGAAUUCCCGGUGUAGCGGUGAAAUGCGCAGAUAUCGGGAGGAACACCGGUGGCGAAGGCGGUUCUCUGGGCCUUACCUGACGCUGAGGAGCGAAAGCGUGGGGAGCGAACAGG
RNAcentral lists this ribosomal RNA (253 nucleotides) under uncultured bacterium. RNAcentral describes it as "partial 16S ribosomal RNA". It matches the Rfam family "Bacterial small subunit ribosomal RNA", at positions 524 to 776 of the family's 1533-position model. The record is from RNAcentral.